CCUACGGGAGGCAGCAGUGGGGAAUUUUGGACAAUGGGCGCAAGCCUGAUCCAGCCAUGCCACGUGCGGGAAGAAGGCCUUCGGGUUGUAAACCGCUUUUGUUCGGGAAGAAAUCGACUCCAUUAAUACUGGGGUUGGAUGACGGUACCGGAAGAAUAAGCACCGGCUAACUACGUGCCAGCAGCCGCGGUAAUACGUAGGGUGCGAGCGUUAAUCGGAAUUACUGGGCGUAAAGCGUGCGCAGGCGGUUUCGCAAGUCAGAUGUGAAAGCCCCGGGCUCAACCUGGGAACUGCAUUUGAAACUACGAGGCUAGAGUGUGUCAGAGGGGGGUAGAAUUCCACGUGUAGCAGUGAAAUGCGUAGAGAUGUGGAGGAAUACCGAUGGCGAAGGCAGCCCCCUGGGAUAACACUGACGCUCAUGCACGAAAGCGUGGGGAGCAAACAGGAUUAGAUACCCUGGUAGUCCACGCCCUAAACGAUGUCAACUAGUUGUCGGAGAAGCAAUUCUUGGUAACGCAGCUAACGCGUGAAGUUGACCGCCUGGGGGAGGUACGGUCGCAGAUAAACUACGAAGAAGUAGAGCGNGAGAGNGCGAGACGACGACGAGGGAGGAGG
Molecule: ribosomal RNA, 615 nt
Filed under: uncultured bacterium
Lineage: Bacteria
Description: bacterial SSU rRNA
Rfam family: Bacterial small subunit ribosomal RNA (bases 1-541)
Source: RNAcentral